This 492-nucleotide ribosomal RNA is filed under the name uncultured bacterium. Its description in RNAcentral is "partial 16S ribosomal RNA". It matches the Rfam family "Bacterial small subunit ribosomal RNA", at positions 29 to 507 of the family's 1533-position model. The record is from RNAcentral.
AGUGAACGCUGGCGGUAGGCCUAACACAUGCAAGUCGAACGGCAGCACAGUAAGAGCUUGCUCUUACGGGUGGCGAGUGGCGGACGGGUGAGGAAUACAUCGGAAUCUACUUUUUCGUGGGGGAUAACGUAGGGAAACUUACGCUAAUACCGCAUACGACCUACGGUUGAAAGCAGGGGAUCUUCGGACCUUGCGCGAUUGAAUGAGCCGAUGUCGGAUUAGUUAGUUGGCGGGGUAAAGGCCCACCAAGGCGACGAUCCGUAGCUGGUCUGAGAGGAUGAUCAGCCACACUGGAACUGAGACACGGUCCAGACUCCUACGGGAGGCAGCAGUGGGGAAUAUUGGACAAUGGGCGCAAGCCUGAUCCAGCCAUACCGCGUGGGUGAAGAAGGCCUUCGGGUUGUAAAGCCCUUUUGUUGGGAAAGAAAAGCAGCAGGUUAAUACCCCGCUGUUCUGACGGUACCCAAAGAAUAAGCACCGGCUAACUUCGUG